This 460-nucleotide ribosomal RNA is filed under the name uncultured bacterium. Its description in RNAcentral is "partial 16S ribosomal RNA". It matches the Rfam family "Bacterial small subunit ribosomal RNA", at positions 338 to 795 of the family's 1533-position model. The record is from RNAcentral.
CCUACGGGAGGCAGCAGUGAGGAAUAUUGGUCAAUGGACGCGAGCCUGAACCAGCCAAGUCGCGUGCAGGAUGACGGCUCUCUGGUUUGUAAACUUCUUUUAUAUGGGAAUAAAGUGAGGCACGUGUUCCUUUUUGUAUGUACCCUAUGAGUAAGCAUCGGCUCACUCCGUGCCAGCAGCCGCGGUAAUACGGAGGAUGCGAGCGUUUUCCGGAUUUAUUUGGUGUAAAGGGUGCGUAGGUGGUUACUUAUGUCAGCGGUGAAAGUUUGAGGCUCCACCAUAUACUUGCCGUUGAAACUGGCGGACUUGAGUAUAUACGAGGUAGGCGGAAGGCGUGGUGUAGCGGUGAAAUGCAUAGAUAUCAUGCAGAACUCCGAUUGCGAAGGCAGCUGACCAAAGUAUAACUGACACUGAAGCACGAAAGCGUGGGUAUCAAACAGGAUUAGAUACCCGAGUAGUC